UCCUCAUGUACGGACCCUGCAGGGCAUUGC
This 30-nucleotide non-coding RNA is filed under the name Rattus norvegicus (Norway rat). The record is from RNAcentral. Lineage: Eukaryota; Metazoa; Chordata; Mammalia; Rodentia; Muridae.